AAAAAAAUCUUCUGUUUUGAAGAAAGAGAGUGGGAAGCAGGGUAAAUUCGCAGAGAGAAAGGUGUUUGCAGAAUUCAAUUGAAUUGCAAAUGUUUAUCUGAAGGAAGUGUUUUUUGCUGCUGUUGAUCGACACACACCAGGACUGCUGGAGAGAUUCAAGGGGAAAAAAGGAACGGCGGGACAGACCUUGACAGAGUUCCUUAGGCUACUUGACCCACAGAAUAAAGAUAACACCUGUUACACCUUGCAUGAAGCGAAACUUGACCAGCUGUCAAAUUGGACUUCAAAGAAAUUAUUAAAACAAACCAUUAAAGACGCGCACUAUAACCACAAGAGGAUGGCUUCCCCAAAGAAUAACGCUUCAUCCAGUUGUGGAUUGGAAGUUAAAUCCGAGGCAGGUGACGAGAGACCUGAUCAGGCUGUAGCCUCAACUUCAACAGUCAAGCGAAGCAGAAGCCAAACAAAGGAUUCUUGUUAUUUUCCAUGUGAAGUAAAUGGCUCUGGUGGGCAAACUGUGUUAGAUUACAUUGAAAUGGGGGCUAGAAUUAAUUCCUUUAAAAUGGGGGCUAGAAUUAAUUCCUUUGAAAUGGGGGCUAGAAUUAAUUCCUUUAAAAUGGGGGCUAGAAUUAAUUCCUUUGAAAUGGGGGCUAGAAUUAAUUCCUUUGAAAUGGGGGCUAGAAUUAAUUCCUUUAAAAUGGGGGCUAGAAUUAAUUCCUUUAAAAUGGGGGCUAGAAUUAAUUCCUUUG
Long non-coding RNA from Acipenser ruthenus (sterlet), 746 nucleotides. RefSeq lists it as uncharacterized. The record is from RefSeq and is a predicted model, not a curated record. Lineage: Eukaryota; Metazoa; Chordata; Actinopteri; Acipenseriformes; Acipenseridae. The transcript has 5 exons.